This 896-nucleotide long non-coding RNA is filed under the name Capsicum annuum. RNAcentral describes it as "long non-coding RNA (CANN_LNC017211)". Lineage: Eukaryota; Viridiplantae; Streptophyta; Magnoliopsida; Solanales; Solanaceae. The record is from RNAcentral.
UUAACUUUGCAGAGGUAAAUUAUUUUUUUCAGAAUGACAGGUGGAAUGAAGAUUUUCUUAAUCAACAAUUAUCAAGUUAUUUUUGUAAAUCACAUUCUUGCGGAAUAUCCUAGAAGAUUGCAAACAGAGAAGAGGGACAAACCUUGGUGGUUGCUUACUACUAAUUGGAACUUUUGAGUAAAAAGUUUUUCGGAUUUUGAUGUGUCAUGGUUUCAUGACACCUUCGAUGCUCAAAAUAAAGAAAUUAUGAAGGAACUUAGGUACUUUUACUGGGUAUGAUAUGUUUUUGUAUUGAUUGUGCAGGAAAAUAGGUUUCAAAGGAAAAACUCAGAAAAGGAUGAAAAAUUUGCUAAGUGAAGAGAAGUUGGUGACUUAUGAGUGUGGUCUACGAAUCAUUAAUUAGAUCCACGACUUAUGAUUGGGGUUCGUGAGUUGACUUCUGAAGCUGAAGGAAAAGUCUGAUUUCUACAAAUUCAUGAGUCGUGACUUCAAACCACGACCCGUGGGUGGCAGUCAUGUCAUAUACUGAAGACUGAUACUGAGCCUGAUUUUCAUGAUAAAGACCUAUGACUUAUGGGUCUGAUCCACAACUCCACCCAUGACUCGUAGCAUGUCCCGACUUAGUUUUCUUACAUAGUUUAUGAUAAGAUUCAUUUUGUAUCUAUAAAUACUCUCAUUGUAUUUUACGAUUAGUUUACACACUUUUACAUUAUUUUGAGUUUCUUAGACACAUUAUUGAUCUUGGGACUAUUUGAUAUUGGUUUUUAGGAUUUUUGAUCUAUUUGAGAUUUGAUUUUUUAUCUUAUUCUUGUAAGUGCAAAAUUAUGCUUUCAUCUAUGAACUCCUCUUGCGUGCUUAUGAUCAUGAGUAGCUAAACUCCAUCACUAGAUUGUGGC